UCACAUUAAUGCAGGUUAAGUCGUUGUGCUCAUGUUGUGCUUGACGCUCGUACAAGUAAGCGUGCCGGUAAUAAACCGUUGUUUGGUAUAACGGUCGUUCCGUUAAAUCUCCUUGCGAUCCUGUACAUAAAUUUAUUUGUAAACUAUUAAAGUAAAGCUUGUGAUUUUCUAAACGUCGCGUACAAUCUACGAAGAACGAUAAAAGUGUGUUCAACGUUAAAAAAUCAGACGUCCAGUGAUUCGAACGAUUAUCGAGAUUUGGAACAUGUUUGAAGAGGCGACGACAUCGAAACGCUCUUUCAUAACUGUUGGAAACGACCUUAGACCUCGAAGGCCUCCCACUGCUAC
Long non-coding RNA from Apis florea (little honeybee), 348 nucleotides. The record is from RefSeq and is a predicted model, not a curated record. Lineage: Eukaryota; Metazoa; Arthropoda; Insecta; Hymenoptera; Apidae.